Molecule: ribosomal RNA, 258 nt
Filed under: uncultured bacterium
Lineage: Bacteria
Description: partial 16S ribosomal RNA
Rfam family: Bacterial small subunit ribosomal RNA
Source: RNAcentral
UACGUAGGGGCCUAGCGUUGUCCGGAAUCAUUGGGCGUAAAGAGCUCGUAGGCGGUUCGGCAAGUCACGUGUGGAAAUCUCCACGCUUAACGUGGAGGCGCCACGUGAAACUGCCGUGACUCGAGUCCGGUAGGGGAGUGUGGAAUUCCCGGUGUAGCGGUGAAAUGCGCAGAUAUCGGGAGGAACACCAGUAGCGAAGGCGGCACUCUGGGCCGGUACUGGACGCUGAGGAGCGAAAGCGUGGGGAGCGAACGAGGA